GGCCAGACUCCUACGGGAGGCAGCAGUGGGGGAUAUUGCACAAUGGGGGGAACCCUGAUGCAGCGACGCCGCGUGGGUGAAGAAGCGCCUCGGCGCGUAAAGCCCUGUCAGCAGGGAAGAAAAUGACGGUACCUGAAGAAGAAGCCCCGGCUAACUACGUGCCAGCAGCCGCGGUAACACGUAGGGGGCAAGCGUUAUCCGGAUUUACUGGGUGUAAAGGGGGCGCAGACGGCGAUGCAAGCCAGGAGUGAAAGCCCAGGGCCCAACCCCGGGACUGCUCUUGGAACUGCGUGGCUGGAGUGCAGGAGGGGCAGGCGGAAUUCCUGGUGUAGCGGUGAAAUGCGUAGAUAUCAGGAGGAACACCGGUGGCGAAGGCGGCCUGCUGGACUGCAACUGACGUUGAGGCCCGAAAGCGUGGGGAGCAAACAGGAUUAGAUACCCUUGUA
Molecule: ribosomal RNA, 446 nt
Filed under: uncultured bacterium
Lineage: Bacteria
Description: bacterial SSU rRNA
Rfam family: Bacterial small subunit ribosomal RNA
Source: RNAcentral